UACGUAGGGUGCGAGCGUUGUCCGGAAUUACUGGGCGUAAAGAGCUCGUAGGUGGUCUGUCGCGUUGUUCGUGAAAACUCACAGCUUAACUGUGGGCGUGCGGGCGAUACGGGCAGACUGGAGUACUGCAGGGGAGACUGGAAUUCCUGGUGUAGCGGUGGAAUGCGCAGAUAUCAGGAGGAACACCGGUGGCGAAGGCGGGUCUCUGGGCAGUAACUGACGCUGAGGAGCGAAAGCGUGGGGAGCAAACAGG
This 253-nucleotide ribosomal RNA is filed under the name uncultured bacterium. Its description in RNAcentral is "partial 16S ribosomal RNA". It matches the Rfam family "Bacterial small subunit ribosomal RNA", at positions 524 to 776 of the family's 1533-position model. The record is from RNAcentral.